This 5673-nucleotide long non-coding RNA is filed under the name Homo sapiens (human). RNAcentral describes it as "HSALNT0376496". Lineage: Eukaryota; Metazoa; Chordata; Mammalia; Primates; Hominidae. The record is from RNAcentral.
GCCUCCCAAAGUGCUGGGAUUACAGGUGUGAGCCACUGCACCCAGCCUAGAGAUGAUUUAAAGUAUAUGGUGGUGUGGUGGCUCGCAUCUGUAAUCCCGGCACUUUGGGAGUCUGAGGUGGGCGGAUCACCUGAGGUCAGGAGUUUGAGACCAGCCUAGCCAAUAUGAUGAAACCCUGUCUCUACUAAAAAUACAAAAAUUAGCCGGGUGUGGUGGCUGGUGUCUGUAAUCCUAGCUACUUGGGAGGCUGAGGCAGGAGAAUCAGCUGGACCUGGGAGGUGGGGGUUGAAGUGAGCCGAGAUCUCACCACUGCACUCCAGCCUGGGUGACAAGAGUGAGACUCUGUCUCAAUCAGUCAAUCAAUCAAUCAAUCAAUCAAGUAUACAAGAUGGCAGAGCAGGCCAAGCAGGCUGGGUGCAGUGAUUCACACUUGUUAGCCAAGCACUUUAGGAGGCCAAGAUGGGAUUGGUUGAGCUCAGGAGACCAGUCUGGGAAAUGUGGCGAGAGCUCAUCUCUUAAAAUAAAAAAAAAGUUAGCCAAGUAUGUACUCCCAGUUUCUUGGGAGGCUGAGGCAAGAUGAUUUUUUGAGCCUGAAGGGUUUCAUGAGCAUGGGAGGUUGAAGCUCCAGUGAACUGUGAUAGUGCCCUUGCACUCCAGCCUGGGACCGGCGAGAUAAGGGAUUUUCUUUCUCCCUGGGUAUGUUCAACCUGUGAAUGUACACAAUGACGAGGUCAGGGUGUAGAGUUUAUAUGAGGGCUUCAGAAAUUUGGCUUAGGGCCAGAUUUCAUGUUUUUUAACCACAGUAACAAAAUGACAUAACAAAAAGUUUGCAUUGCAGAAAGCACAAUUUUAAAAAGGAAAAUUAUUUACAGUGCAUACCACAUAAGCGAAUAUUUGCAAAUUUUUUUGUAAUAAUAGAGAUGGGUCUCCCUAUGUUGCCCAGGCCAGUCUCAAACUCCUGGGCUCAAGUGAUCCACCUGCCUCAGCCUCCCAAAGAGCUGGGAUACAGGCGGGAGCCACGGCUCCCAGCCACAUAUUUGCAUUUUAAAAAUGCACGUAUAACUUUAAAACAUAUAAUUUAACUCAGCAAUUCCACUUCUACAAAGUUAACCUAAUUAAGUAAAUGAGUAUGAGAACUUGUAUGUAUAAGGAUUUUCACUAUUUGGUUAAGUGUCCAUUGAUGGUACUUUAUUAAAUUAUGAUGCUAACAGCCAGGUGCGGUGGCUCACACCUGUAAUCCUAGCACUUUGGGAGGCCGAGGCGGGUGGAACAUGAGGUCAGGAGUUCGAGACCAGCCUGACCAAUAUGGUGAAACCCUGUCUCUACUAAAAAUAAAAAAAUUAGCCGGGCGUGGUGGCACACACCUGUAGUCCCAGCUACUUGGGAGGCCGAGGCAGGAGAGUUGCUUGAACCUGGGAGGCGGAGGUUGCAGUGAGCCGAGAUCAUGCCACUGCACUCCAGCCUGGGUGACAGUGAUACUCCAUCUCAAAAAAAAAAAAAAAAAAAAAAUUAUGAUGCUAACGGCCAGGCACGGUGGUUCAUGCCUGUAAUCUCAGCACUUUGGGAGGCCGAGGCGGGUGGAUCACCUGAGGUCAGGAGUUCAAGACCAGCCUGACUAACAUGGAGAAACCCUGUCUCUACUAAAAAUACAAAAUUAGCCGGGCGUGGUGGCGCAUGCCUGUAAUCCCAGCUACUCGGGAGGCUGAAGCAGGAGAAUCACAUGAACCUGGGAGCGGGAGGUUGCAAUGAGCCAAGAUUGUGCCAUCGCACUCCAGCCUGGGCAUCAAGAGCGAAACGCCGUCCCAAAAAAAAAAAAAAUUAUGAUGCUAACAUUCAAGGAAAUUCUGUGCAGCUGUUAAAAAGGAUGAAAUAGAUUUACAUGAAUUUACAUGGAAAGAUGUUAACUGGUAUAUUAAGAGAAAAAGUUUUGCUACAGGAUACUGCAAAUGUAAUAUUUAAGUAUAUAUAAUGAAUAUAUACAUAGUGUCAAAAAGACUGAAAGUUAAAAGUAAAUUAUACAGUAGUUCUCUUGAAACUUUUUUUUUCUUUUUGAGACGGAGUUUCGCUCUUGUUGCCCAGGCUGGAGUGCAAUGGCAUGAUCUUGGCUCACCACAAACUCCGCCUCCUGGGUUCAAGCAAUUCUCCUGUCUCAGUCUCCUGAGUAGCUGGGAUUACAGGCAUGCGCCAUCAUGCCCUGCUAAUUUUGUAUUUUUAGUAGAGACGGGGUUUCUUCAUGUUGGUCAGGCUGGUCUCAAACUCCCAACCUCAGGUGAUCUGUCCGCCUCGGCCUCCCAAAGUGCAGGGAUUACAGGCGUGAACUACCAUGCCUGGCCAAUUCUCUGGAAUUUUUGACAUUAAGUUUCUAUAUUAUUUGGGAUUUUUAUUUUAUUUUUAUUUUUUUGAGAGGGAGUUUCGCUCUUAUUGCCCAGGCUGGAGUGUAAUAGCAUGACCUUGGCUCACUGCAACCUCUGCCUCCCGGGUUCAAGCAAUUCUCCGGCCUCAGCCUUCUGAGUAGCUGGGAUUACAGGUGCCUACCACCACACCUGGCUAAUUGUUUGUACUUUUAGUAGAGAUGGGGUUUCACCAUGUUGGCCAGGCUGGUCUUGAACUCCUGACUUCAGGUGAUCCACCCACCUCUCCCUCCAAAGUGCUGGGAUUACAGGCGUGAGCCACUGUGCCUGGCCUAUUUGGGAUUUUAAAAUAAUCAUUCCCCCAAUACAGAUUUUUUUAUCUGGAGUGGGAAAACAUGAUAAAACAACCAGUGAUUUUUAGACUUUUUUGGAGUCCUGGGAUUCCACAGGGUGCCUGAUAUGGUUUGGCUGUGUCCCCACCCAAAUCUCAACUUGAAUUAUAUCUCCCAGAAUUCCCACAUGUUGUGGGAGGGACCAAGGGGGAGGUAAUUGAAUCAUGGAGGCCAGCCUUUCCCAUGCUAUUCUUGUGAUAGUGAAUAAGUCUCACGAGAUCUGAUGGGUUUAUGAGGGGUUUCCACUUUUGCUUCUUCCUCAUUCUCUCUUCCUGCUGCCAUAUGAGAAGUGCCUUUUGCCCUCUGCCAUGAUUGUGAGACCUUCCCCAGCCACGUGGAAGUUAGAGACGGGGUUUCACUGUGUUUGCCAGGAAGGUCUCGAUCUCCUGACCUCAUGAUCUGCCUGCCUCAGCCUCCCAAAAUGCUGGGAUUACAGGCGUGAGCCACCACGCCCAGCCAGCUGAAGAAAUUUCUAAGCAGCAAAGCAUUCAAGAGGUGACUUGGGUACUGCUAAAGUCGUUCAGUUUUAAAGGGGGAACAGAGCAUUAAACUUCAGAAAAUUUGCAGCCUGACUACGAUAGAAAAGAAAAACCCAUUUUCUGGGGAGAAGUUCAAGCCAGCUGCAGAAAUUUGCAUAAGUAGCAAGGAGCCUGAUGAUAAUCCUCAAGACCAUGGGGAAAAUGUCACCAGGCCAUGUCUGAGACUUUUAUAGCAGCCCCUCCCAUCACAGGCCCGGAGGCCCAGGAGGAAAAAGUGGUUUUGUGGGCAAGGCCCAGGGUCCCCAUGCUAUGUGCAGCCUAGGGGCUUGGUCCUUUUGUGCAAGCUGCUCCAGCCAUGGCUGAAAGGGGCCAAUGUACAGGUCAGGCUGUGGCUUUAGAGGUGGAAGCCCCAAGCCUUGGCACCUUCCAUGUGGUGUUGAGCCUGUGGGUGCACAGAAGUCAAGAAUUGAGGUUUGGGAACCUCCACCUAGAUUUCAGAAGAUGUAUGGAAACAUCUAGAUACCCAGGCAAGUUUGCUGCAGGUGUGGGGCCCUCAGGGAGAACCUCUGCUAGGGUAGUAUGGAAGGGAAAUGUGGGGUUGGAGCCCUCACGGAGUCCCUACUGGGGUAUCAUCUAGUGGAGCUGUGAGAAGAGGGUGACCAUCCUCCAGACCCCAGAAUGGUAGAUUCACCUACCAUUGCACCAUGCACCUGGAAAAGCCACAGGCACUCAACACCAGCCUGUGAAAGCAGCCAGGAGGGAGGCUGUACUGUACCCUGCAAAGCCACAGGGGUGGAGCUGUCCAAGACCAUGGGAACCCACCUCUUGCAUCAGCGUGACCUGGAUGCGAGACAUGGAGUGAAAGGGGAUCAUUUUAAGAUUUGACUGCGCCACUGGAUUUUGGACUUGCAUGGGGCCCACAGCCCCUUUGUUUUGGACAAUUUCUCCCAUUUGGAAUGGCUAUUUACCCAAUGCCUGUACCCCCAUUGUAUCUAAGAAGUAACUAAUUUGCUUUUGAUUUUACAGGCUCAUGGGGGAAGGGACUUGCCUUGUCUCAGAUGGGACUUUGGAGUGUGGACUUUUGGGUUAAGGCUGAAAUAAGACUUUGGGGGACUGUUGGGAAGGCAUGACUGGUUUGAAAUGUGAUGACAUGAGAUUUAGAGGGGCCAGGGGAUUGGAAUGAUAUGGUUUGGCUGUGUCCUCACCCAAGUCUCACCCUGAACUGUAUUUCCCAUUAUUACCACGUGUUGUGGGAGGGACCCAGGGGGAGGUAAUUGAACCAUGGAGGCUGGUUAGAUCUGAUGGGUUUAUCAGGGGUUUCUGCUUUUGCUUCUUCCUCAUUUUUUUUUUUUUUUUUUUUGAGACAGAUUUUUGCUUGUCACCCAGGCUGGAGUGUAAUGGUCUGAUCUUGGCUCACCGCAACCUCUGCCUCCCAGGUUCAAGCAAUUCUCCUGCCUCAGCCUCCCGAGUAGAUGGGAUUACAGGCAUGCACCACUAUGCCUGGCUAAUUUUUUUGUACUUUUUGUAGAGGCUUCACUAUGUUGGUCAGGCUGGUCUUGAACUCCUGACCUCAGGUGAUCCACUGGCCUUGGCCUCCCAAAUCCCAGGCUCACACCUGGGAUUACGGGCAUGAGCUACUGUGCCCAGCCCUUCCUCAUUCGCUCUUGCUGCUGCCAUGUAGGAAGUGCCUUUUGCCCUCCAUCAUGAUUAUAAGACCUUCCCCAGUCACGUGGAACUGUAAGUCCAAUUAAACCUCUUUCUUUUGUAAAUUGCCCAUUGUCAGGUAUUUCUUUGUCAGCAGUGUGCUAAUACAGUGCCCUAGGCUGGGAGCUGGGUAGGGGUAGGGGGAUAGCCCUGAAGUUACAGGAAGUCAACAGAUGCAGCUGGUAAAGACCUUUUGGUUUAAAAUAUCUGCUUCUCUGGUUUAAAAUGUUUAUUUCUGGCCAGGCACAGUGGCUCACACUUAUAAUACCAGCACUUUAGGAGGCUGAGGUGGGCGGAUCACCCGAGGUCAGGAGUUCAAGACCAGACUGAACAACAUGGCGAAAGCUUCUCUCUACUAAAAAUACAAAACUUAGCCCGGCAUGGUGAUGGGCACCUGUAAUCCCAGCUACUCGGGAGGCAGAGGUUGCAGUGAGCUGAGAUCACACCAUUGCACUCCAGCCUGGAUAACAGAGCAAGACUCUAUAUCAAAAAUAAAUAAAUACAAUGAAAUGUUUAUUUCUAUUUGUCUCUAUCCUCCUGAAAAAUGGCUUUAUGCCAAGGUAAGUCAUUAUAAAAAUGGUUUCUUGGUUAACUAUUAGAGAUCCUCCAGCUUGCUAGUAGAGGUGUAACUGCAUUAAUUUUUUUUUUUUUUUUUUUUGGGAGAUGGGAGUCUUGCUCUGUUGCCCAGGCUAGAGUGCAGUGGCGUGAUCUUGCCUCACCGCCACCUCUGCCUCCCGGGUUCAAGCG